GCGAGGAUGGCGGAAUUGGCAGACGCACAAGAUUUAGGUUCUUGCGGCCGUAAGGCUGUGGGGGUUCAAGUCCCCCUCCUCGCA
RNAcentral lists this transfer RNA (84 nucleotides) under Gemmataceae bacterium. RNAcentral describes it as "tRNA-Leu". It matches the Rfam family "tRNA". From Rfam's summary of the family: Transfer RNA (tRNA) molecules are approximately 80 nucleotides in length. Their secondary structure includes four short double-helical elements and three loops (D, anti-codon, and T loops). The record is from RNAcentral. Lineage: Bacteria; Pseudomonadati; Planctomycetota; Planctomycetia; Gemmatales; Gemmataceae. RNAcentral also lists the same sequence under 1 other name.